This 235-nucleotide unclassified non-coding RNA is filed under the name uncultured Orbiliales. RNAcentral's name for it is "sequence contains ITS2". Lineage: Eukaryota; Fungi; Ascomycota; Orbiliomycetes; Orbiliales. The record is from RNAcentral.
UAAACCCUUCCGCCCCCCGGCUUUGUCUGGGGGUUGCGGGCUUGCUGGCGCAGGGGACUGAGGCCGCCGCGCUCCGGCGCGGGUCAGGUCCUCCCCCGCUUAAACCCGUGGAAGCUAGCGGGCAUGGUCCCGGAAUUGCGAACGACUCGUAUAACCUACCGUCGUUAUCAGCGUCCGGCCUGCCCCGCCUCCAUCAAAUUUUGGAAGAGGGAAUUUUCCCCCGACCAUUUUUUAA